UUUUCCAAUAGUACCACUACCAUGUCCCGAGUACAUCGAACGCGAGAAGUUAACUCGGUGAAAACUUUAAAUUUGGAGGUAGUGAUGUUUUUCAAUUGAUUAAACGUCAACGCUCGAUCAUGAACAGUUUCCUUGUUAGGAAAUGUAUAUCUAUAUAUUUAGUACUUGCAUUUUAACAUGCGGUACUCCAAGGCGAAGACUGUUUAAAAAUAGUUACUUAAUAUAAACAAGAAAAUAUAACUUCUUGAAAAGUUGUACUUGCUGUCUUACUAAUCCCCAUAGUCUGGGUUGCAACUUUGUAAACUUUGCGGUAAUAGCGAGCACCAAUAUCAAAGUUCUUUCUUCCCGAUGAGAAUGUAUCUAAGAUAAUUUACGUUUUCGAUUUCGCUAGUUUUAAAUAAGAUCUGCUUCGCUGGUUUCCCUACUAUUACAAUAAUUUCUCAUUUUGAAAUUAUCGUGCUAAAAUUUACCUCGUUUUCAGACUCGUUACUUUGUAGUCUUAAUCUUAUCACGUGUGUUCUACUUUUUACCAUCCGAUUCUUUAGAAAAUUGGAUAGUUUUGCACUCUUCGACUUACAAAAUACUUGAAUACGUAUCACGUUAUCAUAUUAAUAGAUUUUCACAAAAGAAAUUAUUAACACAAUUAAACAGACGACUAUUAUCGCACAGCGGAACCCACUAAAGUGCAUCUUUAAAAUGCAAACACAAUUCCUUAACCUUAUUUGGAAAUUUAACAGACUAGAUGAUUGUCCUGGUACAGGUCCUUAUUCUGUUAAUUUUUGAAUUAUUGCCCAAGCAUGAGAAACUAUUCGUGAAUAUUCAUGAAAAUAUGUAACACAUGUGUUAUUUCGAGCUCAGUUGACUUCAGCCAUAUUUAUGUGCAACAGUUAUGAAUUAUGGGACUGUACGUACAAGUCAUUAGCUAUGCGAUUCAUGCAAUUUGAAAUUCCAUUAGAAAUCGUACACUGCUAGCAAAUGCUAGUAUUACAGUACAGUGGUGCGAAUGAGAUUUAAUUGUUUAAACAAAGAAAAUUCGCAUAUAAUUUUUAUUAAUUGUGACUUGAUUUCGUAAACGGUCACGAGGCGACUCCAGCUACCGAUUCGGAUAACGUUUCGGCUUUCUGGUUCCCUUCGAGUCGCCAUCCUGAUCAGAAGCCGCGUUCUCGAAUCGAUUUGUACAGUUAGGCCGAUGCUCUCGGAAAAUUCGUUAUUAUUCAGUUGAGGUCGCGGUACUCAAAUAUGCCGUGAAGAAAUAGUCUCGAAGUACCGAGUCACCCGGCAGAGCAGAGUACCCGACGGAGACGUCUCCACGGACCAGCAGAAGCCCGGGUGACAUACCGGCGCCCCGCUGGAGAUGGGCAAAGGGUUGUAGAGCAGGCGGAGAUACAGUUUUGAUAGGGUUAAGGGUAGUGGAGCAACGCCCUGACCCGGGUUAAGGAUGUGGUGCUCAGCGACCGUGGAGUAUAUCCCGAUUUGUUACGUACCGAUUUGCUAAGAAAUGCUCUCGAUUUAGUUUAAAAAGGAAGACUCAAAGGAAAGAAUAAUAGUUAUUGGCUAUAAGGGUCUCGACCAAUCAGAAUGAUUAGUUCUCGAAUUUAACUAUUGUCAAAUCAGUCAUUCAUCAGUCUGUCUUGGGACACCGAUCGGGGUGCCUCGAGCUGCCUCGCGCUUACGGGCUAUUUGUUUACAGUUUUUCUAUCCGUGUUUCCUGUACGGUACAGGAAGUUCUCGCGUUGCUCUCGCUAUAUCCUGAAAAUUCUAUAGAUUUUUCUGCGUGUGUUUCGGAAGUGCAGUGUUGUGCUAUGGUGCAGUGGAUACCUGAGUGAACAAGCUGAACCAGCUCCGAUGGACUCGAAGUACAUAAACGGACAAAUAAAUCAUAACCAAAAAGUCGUUACCUGAACAGCCCAGGAGACGCAAGAAAUAAAAAGCGAAUUGAACCAAAGAUAAAAAAAGUCAUUGUAAUCGAUGACAGGGGGCGGUAAAGACGGCACAGGACACGUCGAAAUAGGUAUUUUCGAAUGAAAUCGACCGAAGUGUCGGCUUAUUCGAGGAUCCCAGGAGAAGAAUAAUAGAGGAUCACAGAGGGGUGGUCGGUGGGUGGACAGGGGAGGAAUGGUGCCUCUCGUGCUGGAUGAGGGAAGGUGGCCGCAGAGGUACCACCACACAGUACCCUCGGCCUUCUACACCGAGGAGGCCUCGAUUCUCUACGGUUCGUUGACGUCGAGCACCGCGUCGACGACCACAACAAACGUAACGGCGACGUCGACGAGCAUAACGGCGACUCCAUUACCAGCGGCGCCCUACCGGAGCACCUGGGGCGCCCGAAGGGAUCCUCUCUACAUAGUCGUACCGAUGACGAUAAUAUACGCCAUAAUCUUCCUCACCGGUGUCAUCGGUAACGUGAGCACGUGCGUCGUGAUAGCCCGCAACAAGUCGAUGCACACCGCGACGAACUACUAUCUCUUCAGCCUGGCCGUGUCGGACCUGCUGCUGCUGGUUUCCGGUCUCCCACCGGAAAUGUACUACAUCUGGUCCCACUUCCCUUACGUCUUCGGCGAGGUCUUCUGCGUGAUUCAGGGCUUCGCCGCGGAGACUUCAGCCAACGCUACGGUCCUGACCAUCACCGCCUUCACUGUCGAGAGAUACGUCGCGAUCUGUCAUCCUUUUCUAUCCCACACAUUGUCCAAACUUACCAGGGCUUUCAAAUUUGUCAUCGUCAUCUGGCUGGUCGCACUUUGCUUAGCCAUACCCCAAGCAAUGUCCUUUGGCAUUGUCUACGAGACUUCCGCCGACGGCCGGAUACCUUACGAGGAUCAUUACGUCUGCAUCGUCAAGCGGGUCGUUAUUCCUCACGCAUUCGAGAUAUCCACCUUCCUUUUCUUUGUCGCUCCUAUGACCCUCAUUACCGUACUCUACGUCCUCAUCGCCCUUCAGCUGAGACGCUCGAGUGUGAUCGGCGGGGAGGCUACAGCCAGCACCAGCGUCUCCCUCAAAACUGGGGGCAUCUUCAAGAGGAAGGAACGAUCCGGCACUGAGGUUGUCGCUGUGACGGUGCCACCGCAUGCCUGUUCCGCUCAGAACGUCGACGGCUCCCAGAGCGACGACGGCAGGAAGAAUUGCUCCAGGAACGCUCAGACCAACGCUACCAAACGCGUUGUCAAGAUGCUCGUGGCCGUAGUGGUGGCGUUCUUCAUAUGUUGGGCACCGUUUCACGCUCAGCGUCUUCUGGCAAUUUACGGCACUCACAGUGCACCCCAUAUGGUCGCCGUAUUUACAGUGCUGACAUACGUCUCCGGAGUUCUCUAUUAUCUAUCGACGACUAUCAACCCGCUGCUCUAUCAUAUAAUGUCCAACAAGUUUCGCGAGGCCUUCAAGGAAACUCUGUCAGGAUACUGUGGACGUGGAAGACGCGGCCGACGGCGUAGAAGAACAACAGCCGGUACCGGCGGAGUAGAGAGUCGGCUGCUCUAGACAGUGAGCUCUCCAGUGAAAGUGCGCUGCUGGAUACGGACUUGAAAGAGCCCUCCGUCGAUGAUCCGAUCAGCGAGCCAAUCGACCAAGGAGCUCGGGAGUACGGUCGGCCUCGAGCCUCGAAAACCGAAUCCUUCUCGACUAAGGCUGCACGUCGAACGGGAUCGCUCCGCCGACUGGUGCCCCGAACGGUUGCCUACCUUGGAGGACAUUGAGAUCUUUCAGGAACAACGAUUCGUUAUGCGCGCAGUUAAACGAUCAUCCAAAUACUUGACACAUGGUCAGCAUAGCGACACGAUCAUUGGCCCUUAUCAUGAGCACUCGUCUGCGUCUUCUCCUUCUCAUCUGACGUCGCUCCUACCUUUUACAAACUCUCCUGACAUUUGUGUAGCUUCUCAACAAACUGUAUGCAGAAUGUCAUCACCUUACUGAUAAUAAUUUUUUGAUUUGCUUAGGUCUCUUUUUUUUUCUUAAAUAAAUUAUCGAACCUUUAUUCAUGUCCCUGAUGUACUUUUGGAAGUUUUGACAAAUUCAAGUAAACGGUGAUACUCUUAAUUGUAAUUGUUAUCGAUUAACAGUCUUUCUACUGAAAUCGUACGCGUAAUUUAAUGACUUUCGUGGGAAUAACACUGACGUAUAGCUUAAGACAUGUUGAAAUUGCCCUGUAGCUACUGUUGAUAGUAGUAAUCGAGUAGUGCCUCCUAAGGUUGCCCUGUUUCGCUUAAUAAUUGCGUAAUUACACGUGCUAAUGGUUGGCGUUAGUACUUUAUAAAUUAUUGUUACUUCUCAGUAUGCUUCCGGAGUGUAAAGAGGAAAGUUACGCGACACGUGGAAUUCUAGACAAGAUCGUCAUCAACUCCCCACGGUGCCUUAUAGAUUAUCUUUGCUUAAAAAGUGCGAUUACGCAGUCGUGUGUAUGCAUGGUUAUUUUUUUCCGAAAAAGGACGACAAAACCUUUAUAUCCAUUUUGAAGAAUAUUUAAAAAAAAAAGGAAGUCAACGGAUUAUACCAGUUUUGCAAAAUUUCACUUUUUGAACACUAGAUAACAUAUUUUUGACGGUGCCUAAUGAUAAAUCAAUAAUUUUCACGUUCAAGGAUAAAUUAAAAAUUUUUUUAAUGCAAACAACGCAUACUUUUCAAAAUGGACAAUCUAAAAUAGCAUUUACAGAGACGAUCGUGUUUAGAAUAAAACGUACGUAUCGCCCUAAUAAUAUUUUAAUUUAUUUUCGGAAAACUUUGUUCCGUAACGUUGCAUUGUCUUUCGUGUCACAAAGUACUCUUUAUCCCAUUGAUAGCGCCUGAAUAUCCAUUGACGUUCUGAAAUUCUAGACAUUCCUCUGUGAACGUUCUGCAGACAUAUAUUGUAACAGUCAUAAAUUGCUUCAAGUGUAACAUAGCCAUCACUUUGCAGCCCUUUUGUUUUCGGUCUCUUCUGUUCUAUAGAUACUUUCAAAGCUUCUCGUAUGAUUGUCCUUUUACGAAAUAUGAUUCAGAUUCACAAUUUUUAAUUAAAGGGAAGCAUGAUUGAUCCAUUAAAUUUAUAUACACAUGAAAAUUCGUUGUCAAGGAAUACCUACAGUUAAUUACAAAUAUCAUUCAUAGUCUGUUCAGUUCGUUGUAUCUUCACUAAAAAUAGUAUAAAAAUAGAAAAGCAGAAAAAAUGAAAAUAAUAAAUCUCUGCCGGGAAGACAAAAAGAACUUUUUUCUUUUUAUCAGACCGUUGACACUCACUCUUCCUCUCACAGGAAGUAACAGCAUCCCUUACUUCUGAAAGAUAAAAACUUUCGCCGAAAGAAGUGCCCCUCUUUUCCAUCUUUGAACAUCGGCGAUCUCUUUUUGGAAAUAAACAUUGCAGCCAGGGUUUUAUUGGACGUUUGCUAUGAAACGGAACGAAGAUAUAAAAUCCUUUAUCGAGGCCUAUAGAGAAACGUACUUGUGCGAGUUCGGGUAUCAAUUUUGUAUGUUCUGCGAAUAAAAGGGAGUUGGAGUACAGAAA
This is an RNA transcript of Cephus cinctus (wheat stem sawfly), 5470 nucleotides long. It is a transcript of the gene named pyrokinin-1 receptor, with no coding region annotated. The transcript is spliced from 6 exons. The record is from RefSeq and is a predicted model, not a curated record. Lineage: Eukaryota; Metazoa; Arthropoda; Insecta; Hymenoptera; Cephidae.